CACGUAGGGUGCGAGCGUUGUCCGGAAUUAUUGGGCGUAAAGAGCUUGUAGGCGGUGUGUCGCGUCGGCCGUGAAAACCUGCAGCUUAACUGUGGGCUUGCGGUCGAUACGGGCAUCACUGGAGUUCGGCAGGGGAGACUGGAAUUCCUGGUGUAGCGGUGAAAUGCGCAGAUAUCAGGAGGAACACCGGUGGCGAAGGCGGGUCUCUGGGCCGAUACUGACGCUGAGGAGCGAAAGCGUGGGGAGCGAACAGG
RNAcentral lists this ribosomal RNA (254 nucleotides) under uncultured bacterium. RNAcentral describes it as "partial 16S ribosomal RNA". It matches the Rfam family "Bacterial small subunit ribosomal RNA", at positions 524 to 776 of the family's 1533-position model. The record is from RNAcentral.